AGUUUUUAUAGUUUAAUUUAAAAAACAUUGAUUUUGUAUAUCAAAAAUAUAUACUAAUUAUUAAAAAU
RNAcentral lists this transfer RNA (68 nucleotides) under Sericostoma personatum. RNAcentral describes it as "tRNA-Thr". The record is from RNAcentral. Lineage: Eukaryota; Metazoa; Arthropoda; Insecta; Trichoptera; Sericostomatidae.